This 463-nucleotide ribosomal RNA is filed under the name uncultured bacterium. RNAcentral describes it as "partial 16S ribosomal RNA". It matches the Rfam family "Bacterial small subunit ribosomal RNA", at positions 28 to 507 of the family's 1533-position model. The record is from RNAcentral.
GAUGAACGCUGGCGGCGUGCUUAACACAUGCAAGUCGAACGGUGAACCUCUUCGGAGGGGCUCAGUGGCGAACGGGUGAGUAACACGUGGGCAACCUGCUCCCGGCUCUGGGAUAACUCCAAGAAAUCGGGGCUAAUAUCCGAUGUUCACCGCUUCUCGUAUGGGGGGUGGUGGAAAGGGUUUACGGCUGUGGAUGGGCCCGCGGCCUAUCAGCUUGUUGGUGAAGUAGUGGCCUACCAAGGCGACGAUGGGUAGCCGGCCUGAGAGGGUGACCGGCCACACUGCUACUGCGGCACGGCCCAGACUCCUACGGGAGGCAGCGGUGGGAAGUAUUGCGCAGUGGGCGGACGCCAGACGCAGCGACGCCGCGUGGGGGAUGACGGCCUUCUAGUUAUAAACCUCUGUCUACAGAGACGAAGCGCAAGUGACGGUACCUGCAGAGGAAGCACCGGCCAACUACGUG